This 497-nucleotide ribosomal RNA is filed under the name uncultured bacterium. Its description in RNAcentral is "partial 16S ribosomal RNA". It matches the Rfam family "Bacterial small subunit ribosomal RNA", at positions 28 to 507 of the family's 1533-position model. The record is from RNAcentral.
GAUGAACGCUGGCGGCGUGCCUAAUACAUGCAAGUCGAGCGAGCGGACGAGAAGCUUGCUUCUCUGAUGUUAGCGGCGGACGGGUGAGUAACACGUGGAUAACCUACCUAUAAGACUGGGAUAACUUCGGGAAACCGGAGCUAAUACCGGAUAAUAUUUUGAACCGCAUGGUUCAAAAGUGAAAGACGGUCUUGCUGUCACUUAUAGAUGGAUCCGCGCUGCAUUAGCUAGUUGGUAAGGUAACGGCUUACCAAGGCAACGAUGCAUAGCCGACCUGAGAGGGUGAUCGGCCACACUGGAGCUGAGACACGGUCCAGACUCCUACGGGAGGCAGCAGUAGGGAAUCUGCCGCAAUGGGCGAAAGCCUGACGGAGCAACGCCGCGUGAGUGAUGAAGGUCUUCGGAUCGUAAAGCUCUGUUAUUAGGGAAGAACAUAUGUGUAAGUAGCUGUGCACAUCGUGACGGUACCUAAUCAGAAAGCCACGGCUAACUACGUG